UGGGAGAUCGUCUAACGGCAGGACGACAGGCUCUGGCCCUGUUAGUGGGGGUUCGAAUCCUCCUCUCCCAACCA
This 74-nucleotide transfer RNA is filed under the name Candidatus Bipolaricaulota bacterium. RNAcentral's name for it is "tRNA-Gln". It matches the Rfam family "tRNA". Rfam says of the family: Transfer RNA (tRNA) molecules are approximately 80 nucleotides in length. Their secondary structure includes four short double-helical elements and three loops (D, anti-codon, and T loops). Further hydrogen bonds mediate the characteristic L-shaped molecular structure. tRNAs have two regions of fundamental functional importance: the anti-codon, which is responsible for specific mRNA codon recognition, and the 3' end, to which the tRNAs corresponding amino acid is attached (by aminoacyl-tRNA synthetases). tRNAs cope with the degeneracy of the genetic code in two manners: having more than one tRNA (with a specific anti-codon) for a particular amino acid; and 'wobble' base-pairing, i.e. permitting non-standard base-pairing at the 3rd anti-codon position. The record is from RNAcentral. Lineage: Bacteria; Candidatus Bipolaricaulota.